This 460-nucleotide ribosomal RNA is filed under the name uncultured bacterium. Its description in RNAcentral is "partial 16S ribosomal RNA". It matches the Rfam family "Bacterial small subunit ribosomal RNA", at positions 338 to 795 of the family's 1533-position model. The record is from RNAcentral.
CCUACGGGAGGCUGCAGUGAGGAAUAUUGGUCAAUGGCCGAAAGGCUGAACCAGCCAUGCCGCGUGAAGGUCAGUGCCCUAUGGGCGUUAAACUUCUUUUGUGCGGGAGCAAUAAUGGUCACGUGUGGCCAGACGAGAGUACCGUACGAAUAAGCAUCGGCUAACUCCGUGCCAGCAGCCGCGGUAAUACGGGGGAUGCAAGCGGUAUCCGGGUUUAGUUGGUUUAAAGGGUGCGUAGGCGGUGAGGUAAGUCAGCGGUGAAAUGCCCCCGCUCAACGGGGUGAAGUGCCAUUGAUACUGCCUUGCUGGAAUGCGGAGGCCGUGGGAGGAAUGUGUGGUGUAGCGGUGAAAUGCAUAGAUAUCACACAGAACACCGAUUGCGAAGGCAUCUAACGAAGCCGCGAUUGACGCUGAUGCACGAAAGCGUGGGUAUCAAACAGGAUUAGAUACCCUUGUAGUC